UAAGAAUAAACACCCCAAACAAUAACAGAACAUCAUUAAAACACACUUUAACUAGGACAUAAACCAUUCAGAAGAUAUAGUUUUUUCCCAUGAGCCUUUGCACUGCUUGAGUGCAGAACAGUUAAAAUGACCCCACCCGUCCCUGCAUAUAUAUCCCUUAGUUAUCGCUGCUAUAUAUGAUCUGUGUACUACAUACUUAAGCUGAUUAAUAUAAACAACUAAUGUGAUUUAAUUGGGAAGAUGGUUUUUAACAAAACAUGAAAUAAUAAGAAGUGACCACUAAAAAGUUUAAUUACAACAAAAUUUGGGUUUACAGUGUGCAGUGUCUGUAACAGUGAAA
Molecule: long non-coding RNA, 340 nt
Organism: Etheostoma cragini (Arkansas darter)
Lineage: Eukaryota; Metazoa; Chordata; Actinopteri; Perciformes; Percidae
Exons: 3
Source: RefSeq, a predicted model, not a curated record